CACAUAGAAGCUGUAGAAGACGAUAUCCGAUCCCAUGGCCUCAGGGUGGUCUUAAGACACGGGACGUAAUGUAGGCUAGGGUGAUAGGGUGAUAGAAACGAAGGGAAACUAAGCUCAAAUACCCGAUGAUCAAAACCCAUGCCCUCAUGUAUGAAAUGCAACAAGUAUAGUAAAUCCCGUGAGCCAUGGACCCAAUGGUGCCUAAUGUGAACAUAGUGUCAAUGAGGAAACAAGUGAAGCAAAUCAAACUGAUAAUGAGAUAUGUAAUGGUGAUACGAAGGGAAUAUCAAACCCGAGAUGGGUCGUGGUAAGAAAAGAAUAAGAGGUGAAGUGAGAAUGAUGAAUCAGAAGCGAAAACGAGGACGAUGAUAAUGAAGCGAAUAACAUCAAAAGGAGUGAUGAUCAACUCAGAUCAGACAUGGAGUGAAGUCACAUCAACUACGAACAUAAUGAUGGAACGGACAAUAACCCAGAGCUCCUAAGAGAAAGUCACUCAUCUCGCUCACAAAACAUGCAACAAAGUGAAUACAAAGCCUGGGGGAUCCCGGGAAGCUCACAUACGAACUCCCGCCAACAAACAUACUCGAUCAAGUGACCCUCGAAUAUCAAUACAUACACUCAGUGAUGGAUGACAAUACACACCUGGUUUUUAUUUCUUUUUCCAUUUUUUUUAUUUAUUUUUAUUUUUAUUUAUUUAUUUAUUUAUUUAUUUAUUUUUCUUUUUUUCUUUUUUUUUUUUUUUACAACAUAUAAAUGAAUUGUACAUGAUCUGAACGCAUACAAAGAAGACCCAAAGAUGGGAUCAAAAAUGAAUAAACAUGCCCUCAAAUAUCAAUAUAUCACAAACUCAAUCUAAUGAGAUGAGGUGACCUUCUCAAACUGAGGAUCCCUGGAUCAGUGUCCGUGGGAUAGAUAGUGGAAAUGACAUGACUACCCUCCAUGUGAUGAAAUGAGGAGGAUCACCCCUCGGGGUGAAAGAAGAUGACGUGAAACGAACAGUAGAUAAGAUAAAGAAAAUAUGAUGAAUAACACGAACAGUGAGAUGAGAUGAAAUGCAGUGAUGUAGUGGCGAGCACAGAUAAUGAGAAGAACGUGCCCCUAGGUCCAAGGCUCAUGAAACUCUCAAACAAUGCAUGCAUACACUAAAGGGCCCCAAUCCCGGUGUGAAAAUGUGAGCAAGGCUAUAAGAAAUGAAGGCUAUGAUGCGCGUGCAAGGCUCAAAUGGGCUAGCAAUGGACUAUAUAUAUCAGAAACGGGAUAAAGGGAUAUAGCUAACCGAAAUGAUGGCCACCCAUCCUGCAACCAUGGACUCAAACGUAGU
Molecule: long non-coding RNA, 1321 nt
Filed under: Vitis vinifera (wine grape)
Lineage: Eukaryota; Viridiplantae; Streptophyta; Magnoliopsida; Vitales; Vitaceae
Description: long non-coding RNA (VVIN_LNC003830)
Source: RNAcentral